GACGAACGCUGGCGGCGUGCUUAACACAUGCAAGUCGAACGGAAAGGCCCUGCUUUUGUGGGGUGCUCGAGUGGCGAACGGGUGAGUAACACGUGAGUAACCUGCCCUUGACUUUGGGAUAACUUCAGGAAACUGGGGCUAAUACCGGAUAGGAUCUCCUGCUGCAUGGUGGGGGUUGGAAAGUUUCGGCGUUUGGGUUUGGACUCGAGGCUUAUCAGCUUGUUGGUGUGGUAGUGACUUACAAAGGCUUUGACGGGUAGCCGGCCUGAGAGGGUGACCGGCCACAUUGGGCCAGGGGAAGGGCCAGGAGUCCAACGUGAGGCAGGGGUGGGGACUAGUGCACACUGGGCGGAGGCCUGAUGCAGGAUCGCCGCGUGCGGGAUGACGGCUUUCGGGUUGUAAAACGCUUUCGCGUGUGACGAAGCGUGAGUAACGGUAAUGGGUAAAGAGGCACCGGCUACUUACGU
Molecule: ribosomal RNA, 467 nt
Filed under: uncultured bacterium
Lineage: Bacteria
Description: partial 16S ribosomal RNA
Rfam family: Bacterial small subunit ribosomal RNA
Source: RNAcentral